AUGAUCAGCACCAAGAAGGAUAGAUCAAUUGCAACUUUCAUCCAGGAGCAAAACCAACACAUUCGUCGCCAGGAGAACCAAAUGUGCACAGGCAUGAUAGAUCUGAAGAAGGCAUUGACCAAGAUCACGGAGCUCGAGGAAGAACUCAAGGCUACGCGCGAGGAUUAUAUGGAGGAAAUCGUCGCACUGGUGGAGAAGAAUGACGACCUGAUAAAGAAGAUCGGAGUAUUCAUGGGAGACCCAGCACCAGGAGGAGAAGACGAUGAUUGCGCUUGCCCGGAUAACUACAUCAUCAUCGACGACACCGACUCGGACCCUAGUGAAGAUGACUUUGUUGAUGAAGCUGGAGCAGAUAUCAUGGAGUCUUCGACCGAUCAAAAUUUCUAG
This 387-nucleotide ribosomal RNA is filed under the name Triticum aestivum (bread wheat). RNAcentral's name for it is "partial small subunit ribosomal RNA". The record is from RNAcentral. Lineage: Eukaryota; Viridiplantae; Streptophyta; Magnoliopsida; Poales; Poaceae.